UGGGGAAUUUUGGACAAUGGGCGAAAGCCUGAUCCAGCCAUGCCGCGUGCAGGAUGAAGGCCUUCGGGUUGUAAACUGCUUUUGUACGGAACGAAAAGACUCUGGUUAAUACCUGGGGUCCAUGACGGUACCGUAAGAAUAAGCACCGGCUAACUACGUGCCAGCAGCCGCGGUAAUACGUAGGGUGCAAGCGUUAAUCGGAAUUACUGGGCGUAAAGCGUGCGCAGGCGGUUAUAUAAGACAGAUGUGAAAUCCCCGGGCUCAACCUGGGAACUGCAUUUGUGACUGUAUAGCUAGAGUACGGCAGAGGGGGGAUGGAAUUCCGCGUGUAGCAGUGAAAUGCGUAGAUAUGCGGAGGAACACCGAUGGCGAAGGCAAUCCCUGGGCCUGUACUGACGCUCAUGCACGAAAAGCGUGGGGAGCAAACAGGAUUAGAUACCCUGGUAGUCCACGCCCUAAACGAUGUCAACUGGUUGUUGGGUCUUCACUGACUCAGUAACGAAGCUAACGCGUGAAAGUUGACCGCCUGGGGAGUACGGCCGCAAGGUUGAAACUCAAAUGAAUUGACGGGGUCAUAGCUGUUUCCU
RNAcentral lists this ribosomal RNA (587 nucleotides) under uncultured bacterium. Its description in RNAcentral is "partial 16S ribosomal RNA". It matches the Rfam family "Bacterial small subunit ribosomal RNA", at positions 355 to 1375 of the family's 1533-position model. The record is from RNAcentral.